UCUUUUGGAUCGGUAAGAACUAAAACGUGGUGGAAACUGGGAAAAUCUCAUGUAAAAUCCAACCAUCUUGUGAGCUUCUUGUUUCGAGUUUUACUUACCAUGAUGGUAUAUCUAUAUUUUAAUGAAUCCUACUGCUAGAAGAUGAUGUUCUCAAUCCAACCAGGCAUACGUACGAGCUCUCAAGUUCUAGGUGAGGAGGUUGAUGUUUCAGUGUUGGGGUGCGUGUAAUAACUGAGCUACGGAUAUCUAUUGAUGAUUAAGGAGGUAUUGGUGAGUGUUUUAAUGAUUGUUUUUUAUUAUUAAUAUUUUUUUAUUUUUUAAAAAUUUUUAAUAUCAAUACAUUAAAAUAAAACAAAAAUAUAAAAAAAAUAAUUUUAAUUUUUUUAAAAAAAAUAUUACCCAAACUCCAUUUAAAACUUUGUAUGUAUGUGUUAUAAAGGGGGAUACAUGUCAUCCGACCAGAUAUUGAUUGGGAUUAAACCAUUCAAACUAGGUAUUUAAUACGACAACGUAGAUCAUAUGAGUGAGAACUCUGUUAAGAUACACGUGUACCUCAAAUACACCAACAGAGAUGCUUUAAAUUUUAAACCCAAAGGCCAAAGGCCCAACCCAAUAAGUUGGCCUUUUUGUUUCGGCCGUGGUUAUUUAGUGAAGGAAUUGGGCCGUCCAAUUUGGAAUCAAACCAAUGCUUUAAGCUUUAUAUCAAUUAGUCCUUCAAAUCCAAUUGGUAUGGACUGUCAAUGCGUGCAGUAUGGCAUCGAUGGAUCUUCUGAGAAGGCCUGCACAUUGCCCCAUAAGAAGGAAAAAAAAGCAAAAAAAUGUCUCAACGAUAGCAUGCAUCAAUGAGCCUUCUCCUCUACCACCGUUGAUAUUUGCUUGAAAAUUAAGUUCAACUCUAGCAUGCAUCUUUGGUCUCUUUGCUAGAUGAGGCAUUAAGAAUUACAAUGAAGUUCAUAUAUGCAUCUUGAUCCGUCUGAGAGAUAUGUUUAACCUUUAACUUUCAUAAAUACUAAUUAAAGCCGUGCUUAAAGAUAUUAUCUUAGUUUGUACUUCCAUAAUAUGUGAUGCAGAAAACAAAAGUUUGGAGCACAUAGGAUCAGGAUCCCCACAUGAGGAUUUGAUCUAAACAUAUUAUAUAAAUAAUUUAACAGAUAUUUGUAUAGAUAAUUAAAACUUAUCUAGAUUCAAGAGAAGAUUUGAUCGCGUCAAACUAUAUGAACACCUAAAACCUGCAAUAGCAAGAGAUCCAAUUAUUGGAUCAGUUUUAAAUUUUUCCAUGUAAUCUUAUGGGCGUUUUUCUAAUAUGCAACCACAACAUCAUUGAUUGGAUAUUUGAAUCUUUUAGAAUUAAGUUUUAGGGCUAGGCUUUUAUUUAGGCUAAUUUUGUUAUUUUUAUGUGUUUUUUUAUUUAUGUUUAAUUUCCUUUUUACUUUUAUAUUUCUAGUUAUUUUCUAGUAAGUGUAGAGUAUUUUUUUGAUAUAUUUAAAGGUUUUAUAAAAAAUAUUUUAAAAAAUAAAUUGUGAAUUCAUGACUCAUAUUUGCAAUCCCGUUUGUUGUGCUAUAGUCUUUAGUUUUUGUAUGCAUCAAUAUGUCAUUUUUUCUUCUAGAAAAACAAUUCAAUACAACUAGAUUUAGGUGGAUCCAAACUAUCUAUGGGCAUCCUAAUAAUAUUGUUGUUGUUCAUUAUUGUAGUAUACGUUAUCAUAAUAUGAUUGAUUUGAUUCACGAAUCUUCAUAAAUAAAUGUUAUUGAUUUGGUUUAUAUAAACUAGUUACACGUGGCAAUUCCUUUCUAUCUACCACAUUAAUUAGAUGAAUGAUCUUUCUUUUUGAGAUGCAUGAACAAGUUAUUUUUUUUUGUAAGAUCUCUAUUAAGGACAUCAUGCUUAAAUCUUUCAUGAGAAAAAAAAAAAAAACAAAUCCAUUUUCAAAUCUAAUACUCGAUGUGGGGGCACGAGGCCCAUGAUCUUAAUUAUAGCAAACUGUUUAGUCCAACUCGCAUUUAUGACGAGAAUAGUAAGGGCACAAAUUAACUAUUGAUAGUUGAAAAUAUUAUUUUAAUAUGUUUUAAAAUAAAAAAUAUUUUAAAACACAACGAAAAUUAUUAUAUAUAUAUAAAUAAAAGAAAUUCCAAAAAGUUAUUUUCUGUGCAAAUCACAAAUCACUCAUGCAAGUCAUAGGCUCAUAGCUAGGUUCACAUGAACGGUUGGUAAAGUUAAGAAGAGAGAAAGGUCCUUCCAUGUACGGUGGAUUGAUUGAUGAGGUACGGUUGCGACCCGCCAUGCUCGACCUUCAAUUAUCCACGUGAACAUGACAUGAUGUCAAUGAAAAAAUAAAAAAAAGAAAGGGGGGCUAAUUUGCACGGAAAGUCAACAAAGGUUUCCUAGAUUGUCCAAUGAAAUUAGCCCCUACCUUCACCACUCUCCACGAAACUUACCAAAUCCCCAUUUCUUUCUUUAUUGGUCCAAAUUUGACCUUAGAAGAUAGCUUUCACGAUCCAAUUUUGAUUCAUUCAUUUAUCACCCCACAUGGUGUUGUAGUUGCCUAGAAGUCUCCUCAAAGUCCACUCUUGCAGGCAAGCUAGGGUUCCUUCCACCUUACACUCUAACAUUUUACGUGUCAAACAGUUGUACACAGACGACUAGCCGUAGUUCUUGACUGUUUAAAUCACCAAAAUGUUUUGUAUUCUUCAAAACUUAUUCGUCGGUUUCUUGACUUUUAAUUUGUUUCUUUAAUUAGUUCACUUGCAAACGUUAAUUAUUGAAUGUUAACAAGUCAUUGGGAUAUGAAAACUAAUGAGCUAGGUUUGAGGUUGAGAGAUAAGAAAAAUAUUUAUAUAUUUCAUAAUUGAAAGUUCAUAAAAAUAUGCUAUUUUUAUUUUAAUUUAUUGCCCUUGUGACCAUAACCAAAUACCACGAUUGCCCUUGUGACCAUAACCAAAUACCACGAUUGAUAAACCAUUAAUGAGUUGGAAAAUAUAUGUUGAUCGUGUUUGUUUUAUAUAUAUGUUGAUCAUUUUUAAAACCGAACAAUUUGAAACAAAAUAUUAAAGCAUGAAAUAAUAGUAACAAAAGGAAUGGAAAUCUUGUGUUUACUUUAAUUUCUAUCCUUUCGACCCCCAACAAGGAAAAAAAAAAAGAAACUAUGAACAUCUGAACCUCAUUUUCAUCCCUCGGAAGAAGGGAAGAAAGAGAAAAACAACUAUUGAUAACAACAAAGUAAUUAACUAUUCAUAAAAAAACAAAAAAAUUGAUAAGAGAUAUGUCUAAUUAAUUUCUGUGGCUUGUGUUGUUCGUGGCAUUGCUGUUAUUGUUGUUGUUGGUGGUGUUGCUGUUAGCACCACCAAUGAUGGAGCUGAUGGCAGCUGCAAGUGCUGCAGUGAAGUUAGGAUCGGCCGUG
Molecule: long non-coding RNA, 3398 nt
Filed under: Populus trichocarpa (black cottonwood)
Lineage: Eukaryota; Viridiplantae; Streptophyta; Magnoliopsida; Malpighiales; Salicaceae
Description: long non-coding RNA (PTRI_LNC002640)
Source: RNAcentral